Molecule: small RNA, 815 nt
Filed under: Arabidopsis thaliana (thale cress)
Lineage: Eukaryota; Viridiplantae; Streptophyta; Magnoliopsida; Brassicales; Brassicaceae
Description: ATSL142250
Source: RNAcentral
AAUGUUAAGAGAUUUGCUUAAGAUAUAUAUAUACUAGAUUUUAACCCGCGGUAUACCGCGGGAAUAAUUUAUUUUUUAAUGUUAGUAUAUAUAAAAGUUUACAAAUUGCAUCUAUCUAUAAAAUAUUUUUAUUUUAUAGUUUACAAUUGUUAUUAAGUAACGUCCUGCCAAACCCGUCCCGUCAACCCAUCCCGUAAAAAAACCCAUUUAUUUUAUUAAUGUUGAUCUUAUUUAUGAUAUGUUUAUGAAUCAUUGUCUAAAUAUUUUGUAAUUUUGUAGUAAUUAAAUGCUAUCAAAUUAUAUCUAUGCGCUUUGAUGAUUAUAAUCCAAUUGUUAUAGUCAUGGAGAAAAGUAAUAUCAAAAAUGAUAAUUUUGUAGUAAUUAAAUGAUAUUAAAUAUUUUGGAAGUUUUAUUUUAGUAAAUAAUCGUGUAAUCGUGUAGUUAAUGUGAAGAGAUUUUGGGAAGAUUGUUAAAUGUCAAAUAUUUAAUUCGAAAUUUUUUUUCUAAUUAUCAAAAACAAACAUCAAAAUCUAGUGGCAGCCAUUGUAAAUAAGUCCCAACUACAGGAUUUAUUUCACAAAAUGGCUGCAAAAAUGUAUAUAUAGGUACACAAUAGUGAAUAAAGAAAAUAGUUUAAAAGCAAAACCCUAAAUAAAAUAAAAGAUUGAGAGGCACGUUUUCCUCAAAGAUCAAUGACGAUACCCGAGCUGCCAAAGGAUUUGAUAGAGGAGAUACUCUGUUACGUUCCGGCGACAUAUCUGAAACGAUUACGUUCUACUUGCAAAGGAUGGAACCGUUUAUUCAAAGAUGAUCGA